RNAcentral lists this ribosomal RNA (396 nucleotides) under Ectopistes migratorius (passenger pigeon). RNAcentral describes it as "partial 12S ribosomal RNA". It matches the Rfam family "Bacterial small subunit ribosomal RNA", at positions 794 to 1382 of the family's 1533-position model. Lineage: Eukaryota; Metazoa; Chordata; Aves; Columbiformes; Columbidae. The record is from RNAcentral.
GCCUGGCCCUAAAUCUUGAUGCUUACACACCAAAGCAUCCGCCUGAGAACUACGAGCACAAACGCUUAAAACUCUAAGGACUUGGCGGUGCCCCAAACCCACCUAGAGGAGCCUGUCCUAUAAUCGAUAACCCACGAUACACCCGACCACUUCUAGCCAAAACAGCCUACAUACCGCCGUCGCCAGCUCACCUCUCCUGAGAGCGCUACAGUGAGCACAACUGCCCUAACCCCGUUAGCAAGACAGGUCAAGGUAUAGCCCAUGAAGUGGAAGAGAUGGGCUACAUUUUCUAACCUAGAAUAUCUCUACGGAAGGGGGCAUGAAACAGCCCCCAGAAGGCGGAUUUAGCAGUAAAGCGGGAUAAUAUAUGCCCCCUUUAAGCCGGCUCUGAGGUAC